RNAcentral lists this ribosomal RNA (388 nucleotides) under Paramecium quadecaurelia. RNAcentral's name for it is "LSU rRNA". It matches the Rfam family "Eukaryotic large subunit ribosomal RNA", at positions 308 to 670 of the family's 3401-position model. The record is from RNAcentral. Lineage: Eukaryota; Ciliophora; Oligohymenophorea; Peniculida; Parameciidae.
UUCUAAAGCUAAAUAUUUAUGGGAAACCGAUAGCAAACAAGUACUACGAAGGAAAGAUGAAAAGAACUUUGAAAAGAGGGUUAAAAGACUUGAAAUCGUUGAGGAGAAAAGCGGUAGAAGAGAAAUGAUUUCAUUUAGAAGUAUGUAGUUUUGUAGGUGUCUUCUGUGGUAAUGGUACUUCAUAGGGCCUAGCUAUAGACCGGCAUCGCAUUGCUGCUUUUUCUGGAUGAAGUGCAAAAUGAGGUCUCGCUUGCGGAAACGUCUCUAGGGAGGACUCUGGCCUUGACGCUGGAAAGCCCUGGUCUCCAACGCAAGCCUGGCCUGAGGCCUGCAUCUGCGGAUUUUGCAAAAAAGGCUUCUACUGACCCGUCUUGAACCACGGACCAAA